Molecule: long non-coding RNA, 1406 nt
Organism: Homo sapiens (human)
Lineage: Eukaryota; Metazoa; Chordata; Mammalia; Primates; Hominidae
Source: Ensembl
UCUCUGAUCUCUGAUCUCUGACCUGCGUUCUUAGCUGGGACGUCGAGUUCUCCCAGGAUAAUUAUCGACCAGCAGAACCAGCCUGAAACCACCACUGAAACACAAUUUAUGCCUUGCUAUCUUCCUAAGGAUUAAGCAUCUGGCUGCCAUGUAAGACGUGCCUUUCAGCUUCCACCAUGAUUGUGAGGUCUCUCCAGCCACAUGUAACUGUGUUCCAAGAUAAUGAAUACUUCCAUAGCAACAAAAGUCUGACAAUAAACGGUUACCUUGAUUUUCACAUUUUCAAAGAAAAAUCCCUCAAUGGCAACUAGACCAGAAGUCUCAACACUGAAUAUGCAAUAAUGGCUACAAGUUACAGGAUAUCAAAGUGGAGUGUGAACCAGCCAGGAGGAGAACGAAUAACACCCAAAGACAAAAAAGGACUUGUUGUCUUUUCUGGGGAAAGGUGAAGAAAGGAACAAGGUGUUCAGCUAAUAACGUGGUUUGGGAAGGGAGUUUGAAAAGAGAAGAUAAAGAAAUACUCAUCUAGGAGAGUAGGAGUGUGGAUGGACUAGAAAAAAGAAAAAGAAAUUCUUGGUCCCCAACAUGGAAAUCCAAGAUGCAAGGAAAUCAUAGGCUCUGAAUCACCUGGGGAAGAAACCGCUGCAGACCAAAUUGCAUCUUAGAUCCAUUAAAUCAGAAACUUGGAUUGCUGGAUUCAGGUACAAGUAUUUUUAAAGCUCCCUAAGUGAUUAUAAUGUAUAGCCAAAGUUGAGAACUACUGCUUUGGAGCCACUGGUCUAAUGGAACAAAUUGCAUUGAUUUACUUCCCUUAAUAUUACUAUGUAUAACUAACUAAAUAAGAUGUAUUAUUUUAUGUUUCUUCUUAAUAUUGGCAUAAACCAAUAAAUUAGUGUAUGUAUGUUUCAUUGUUAGAAGAAUAUAUGAAUAUUAUUUUUGUACCAGAUAUUCCAUCAGGAGCAGAAACGUUCACAGAAAAGGGGCACAAAUUUUAGGGGCAGAGUAAGAUGUGAACCAUACAAUCAGCUCUGAGCAUCCUCCUCUGCCCAUUUGCCUCAUAUGGUUUUAAGGAUGGUAAGUGCAGAUAAAGCUGUGAAUGAGAAGAGGAACAGAGCAGUCAUCAUGGAACAUGAGAGAGAAGCUAUGUAUUCAAGGCCCCAGAACCACAAGUAGAAGGAGCCUGGAUCCCAGAUAAUUUUGUGGGUCCCAUAGUCCUGAAUUGCCUGCCCAGGCUUUAACAUGAAAGAGAACAAUUUCUCUAUUUCAUUUAAACCACAGUUAUUACAGGGUCUCUUUCAACAGCCAAACCUAUUACCUAACUAACACAAGUCAUGACCAGGUAGUCUUGCUAACAGAAUAUCUCAUAUUCAAUUAAGUGUUUUAAAUAUAUACCAUUGUUACUGCAC